GAUGAACGCUGGCGGCGUGCCUAAUACAUGCAAGUCGAGCGAACAGACGAGGAGCUUGCUCCUCUGACGUUAGCGGCGGACGGGUGAGUAACACGUGGAUAACCUACCUAUAAGACUGGGAUAACUUCGGGAAACCGGAGCUAAUACCGGAUAAUAUAUUGAACCGCAUGGUUCAAUAGUGAAAGACGGUUUUGCUGUCACUUAUAGAUGGAUCCGCGCCGCAUUAGCUAGUUGGUAAGGUAACGGCUUACCAAGGCAACGAUGCGUAGCCGACCUGAGAGGGUGAUCGGCCACACUGGAACGGAGACACGGUCCAGACUCCUACGGGAGGCAGCAGUAGGGAAUCUUCCGCAAUGGGCGAAAGCCUGACGGAGCAACGCCGAGUGAGUGAUGCAGGUCUUCGGAUCGUAAAACUCUGUUAUUAGGGAAGAACAAAUGUGUAAGUAACUAUGCACGUCUUGACGGUACCUAAUCAGAAAGCCACGGCUAACUACGUG
Molecule: ribosomal RNA, 497 nt
Filed under: uncultured bacterium
Lineage: Bacteria
Description: partial 16S ribosomal RNA
Rfam family: Bacterial small subunit ribosomal RNA
Source: RNAcentral